Molecule: non-coding RNA, 80 nt
Filed under: unclassified sequences
Description: skipping-rope RNA
Rfam family: skipping-rope RNA
About the family: Firmicutes, Fusobacteria, AlphaProteobacteria, Spirochaetes. Downstream gene
Source: Rfam by way of RNAcentral
AAUCUCCAGAGGACGGAACAGGCAGCCGUCGCCCGUCAAAAGACGUUAGGAGAUGCAGGAUGGUCACCCUGCCGGAGAUU